RNAcentral lists this unclassified non-coding RNA (164 nucleotides) under uncultured fungus. RNAcentral describes it as "sequence contains ITS1, 5.8S rRNA gene". Lineage: Eukaryota; Fungi. The record is from RNAcentral.
CAGAGUGUGCCCCUCACGGGGACCCUCCAACCCUUUGUCAUUUAUACCUUUGUUGCUUUGGCGGGCCGCCUCGCGAGAGGCUGUCGGCUCCGGCCUGCACGCGCCCGCCAAAGACCCUUUAAACUCUGAAUGUUAGUGUCGUCUGAGACCAUAAAAAAUCGUUA